CUUAAUACAACUUUCAACAACGGAUCUCUUGGCUCUCCCAUCGAUGAAGAACGCAGCGAAAUGCGAUAAGUAAUGUGAAUUGCAGAAUUCAGUGAAUCAUCGAAUCUUUGAACGCACCUUGCGCCCUUUGGUAUUCCGAAGGGCAUGCCUGUUUGAGUGUCAUUAAAUUAUCAACCUUGAAGGCUUUUGUGGUCUUCUAGGCUUGGAUGUGAGGGCUUGCUGGCUUCCUUCAGUGGAUUGGUCUGCUCCCUUUAAAUGCAUUAGUAGGAUCCUCUUGUGGAACUGUCGCUCGGUGUGAUAAUUAUCUACGCCGUAUUGACUUGCAAUGAGAGCCUGCUUAUAACUGUCUUCGGACAACUUCUUUAAUAUUUGACCUCAAAUCAGGUAGGACUACCCGCUGAACUUAAGCAUAUCAAUAAGCGGAGGAAAAGAAACUAACAAGGAUUCCCCUAGUAACUGCGAGUGAAGCGGGAAAAGCUCAAAUUUAAAAUCUGGCGGUUCUGCCGUCCGAGUUGUAAUUUAGAGAAGCGUCUUCCGUGC
This 540-nucleotide ribosomal RNA is filed under the name uncultured fungus. Its description in RNAcentral is "eukaryotic LSU rRNA". The stretch from base 9 to 162 matches the Rfam family "5.8S ribosomal RNA". The record is from RNAcentral. Lineage: Eukaryota; Fungi.